UUCUUGGAGAGUUUGAUCCUGGCUCAGGACGAACGCUGGCGGCGUGCCUAAUACAUGCAAGUCGAGCGAAUCUUUUGGGGCUUGCCCCAGAAGGUUAGCGGCGGACGGGUGAGUAACACGUGGGCAACCUGCCUGUAUGACUGGGAUAACUUCGGGAAACCGGAGCUAAUACCGGAUAAUCCUUUUCCUCUCAUGUGGAAAAGCUGAAAGUCGGUUUCGGCUGACACUUACAGAUGGGCCCGCGGCGCAUUAGCUAGUUGGUGAGGUAACGGCUCACCAAGGCGACGAUGCGUAGCCGACCUGAGAGGGUGAUCGGCCA
This 319-nucleotide ribosomal RNA is filed under the name Neobacillus niacini. RNAcentral describes it as "bacterial SSU rRNA". It matches the Rfam family "Bacterial small subunit ribosomal RNA", at positions 1 to 310 of the family's 1533-position model. The record is from RNAcentral. Lineage: Bacteria; Bacillati; Bacillota; Bacilli; Caryophanales; Bacillaceae.